CCGGAAAAAGAAGAGAGAGAUAGAGGAAGAUGAGAGUAUGAAUGAAACAAGUGAAGUGACUGUUUUAUUUAUGUAGGAUUUUUUUUUUAUCAAAAAAUAUAAACAAAAAAAUGAAACUGGCCAUUCUUACUUUAAAUUGACAUAUAUAUAUAUAUAUAGGAAUCUUGCUUUUCAAAUAUUGAAUUAUAAGCCCCCUCCAGACAACUUUUGUAUAAUAGAUCGAUAUCAGAGAAUCCCAUAAUUUUAAAAUAUAAAUCUAAGUUUGACAUGAUGGUAUUUCUAUAAAUCUUAUUGUUGAGUUAGACAGUUACCCUAUAUCCUAAACUUUAUUGAUAUGUUUUGAGUAUUGAGUUUGAGACCCACAUUACACAUCUCAUAUGUUUGAUUUUCUAGACGUAUAUAUAUAUAUAUAUAUUUUAUUUUCUAGACGUAUAUGUGUUCAGAAAUUGACUAGCUAAAUAAUUACUAACCUUUUUUUUUUUUUUUUUUUUGAAUGAAUGCUAAAUUUAUUUAUCAAAAAAACCUAUUUACAUCAAGUGGGUCUUUUGUGAAAAGAAAUAAGAUCCUAACUCUUUACAUAAGA
Molecule: long non-coding RNA, 583 nt
Filed under: Brassica rapa (field mustard)
Lineage: Eukaryota; Viridiplantae; Streptophyta; Magnoliopsida; Brassicales; Brassicaceae
Description: long non-coding RNA (BRAP_LNC001082)
Source: RNAcentral